Molecule: ribosomal RNA, 424 nt
Filed under: uncultured bacterium
Lineage: Bacteria
Description: partial 16S ribosomal RNA
Rfam family: Bacterial small subunit ribosomal RNA
Source: RNAcentral
AAUAUUGGACAAUGAGCGAAAGCCUGAUCCAGCCAUGCCGCGUGUGUGAAGAAGGUCUUCGGAUUGUAAAGCACUUUAAGUUGGGAGGAAGGGAUGUAAGUUAAUACCCUGCUAUUUUGACGUUACCAACAGUAUAAGCACCGGCUAACUUCGUGCCAGCAGCCGCGGUAAUACGAAGGGUGCAAGCGUUAAUCGGAAUUACUGGGCGUAAAGCGCGCGUAGGUGGUUCGUUAAGUUGGAAGUGAAAGCCCCGGGCUCAACCUGGGAACUGCUUUCAAAACUGACAAGCUAGAGUACGGUAGAGGGUAGUGGAAUUUCCUGUGUAGCGGUGAAAUGCGUAGAUAUAGGAAGGAACACCAGUGGCGAAGGCGACUACCUGGACUGAUACUGACACUGAGGUGCGAAAGCGUGGGGAGCAAACAGG